GCGUCCACCACCGUCCACGACAGACGCGCACGCACAGAGCACCACACCACACCACCACCGCCGCCGGCCCCGGUUAACCCCCCUCUGGCCUCCUCCCCUUCCGUUUCAAAAAUCAAACACCCCGGACGGAAACCCUCUUUCCUCUCCCCCCUCCCUCCCGGCCGUUGCGGUGGCGAAUCCGGGCUGCGACGCGGGGCCGGCGGCGUGACCCUCCGUCCCCUCCUCCGCCGCGUCCCCUUCGUCGGGUCGCCAAUCCACCUCGUCCCACCCCGCCCCGCCUCGCCUCGUCUCGUCUCCCAACUUUUUCCGAUCUCCUCGUCGCUAAGCAAACAAACCCUUAUUAACCCCCCGCCGAAGCAGAUGUUCGCCUGGAGAAAAGGGCGCCACUUGCACUGGGCUAGGCACUCUGCUCCCCGGUGCGACUAGAGUAGAGUAGAGCCGGAGCGCCUGGUACGUGCCACUGGGUGCAGCCGAGAUUCCUUCUUGCCCUCGACUGGGUUCCGGCGGAUUGGUUGGUGUUGUUCUUGCGGAUUCUUUCUCCGUUCUUGGCAAGUUCGCCGUCCUGCUCCUGUGCUACUGCGGCGCCGGUGCCGGUGAGGAGGAAGGCUGCCAAGAUUGCUCGGGGGCCAGGGGGGAGCAGCCGCCGGUGCCCGGCCUCGGAGUGGCCGCCCCAGCCCGUCUAUGGAAGUUGCCGCCCCGACUCCAUGCCACGGCCUGGAACCAAAUUGCCGAGCACGGCACGGCUUGCCUGCCCUUCUGACGCUGCUUGUCACUCUGGUGCCCGUCUUCUGCUUCGUUCUUGCUCCGGAUCGGCCAAUUGCGGCGGGCCUGCUAUGACGGUGGUCAUGGGUCGGCGCCGGUGCGCUCACUGGAUGCUGCUGCUCUUCUGUUGCCUCCUCCUCACGUCCCCCUCACAUGGUCAUCGUCACAAUCGACCCGCUGACGCGUUUGUCGGGGGAUACGGGAUAAACUACGGGAGAAUAGCGAACAACCUCCCGUCUCCGGACAAGGUGGUGGAGCUCCUCAGGAGGUCCAAGAUAAGGAAUGUCAAGAUAUAUAAUGAAGAUCACACUGUGCUCGACGCGUUCAAAGGGACAGGGCUCAACCUGGUCAUUGCUGUCCACAAUGGGUUGCUGAAUGCUUUUGCUGCAAAUGAGAGCGUCGCGAUUGACUGGCUGAAUGAGAACGUGCAGCCUUACAUUUCUCAGACACGCAUUGUUGGAAUCACUGUGGGGAAUGAGGUGCUGGGAGGCGAUCCGAGCUUGGCCGCUCCGCUCGUUGGAGCUGUUAAGAAUAUGUACGAUGGUCUCAAGAAACUGCAUCUGGAUGACAAAAUUGAGCUUUUCACACCUCACUCUGAAGCUGUUUUCGCUACUUCCUAUCCGCCCUCUGCAUGUGUUUUCAAGGAAGAAAUCAUGGUGUAUAUGAAACCGCUGCUGGACUUGUUUUCACGGAUCGGCUCACCUUUCUAUGUCAAUGCAUAUCCCUUUUUGGCGUACUUAACUGAUCCGGGGCAGAUCGACAUUAAUUAUGCUCUCUUUCAGCCCAACCCUGGAGUAGUUGAUCCGAAUACUAGUCUGCACUAUGACAACAUGUUUGAUGCUCAGAUAGAUGCAGCUUACGCUGCUCUGCAGGCUGCUGGUUAUAAUGACAUGGAAGUCCGGGUGGCAGAGACUGGCUGGGCUUCUAGUGGAGAUCAAAAUCAAGCAGGACCAUCAGUUGAGAAUGCAAGGACUUACAAUUACAACCUCCGUAAGAGGCUCUUUUUGAGGAAGGGAACUCCUCUCAAGCCAAAGAUACCAGUCAAAGCAUACAUCUUUGCCUUGUUUAAUGAGAACUUGAAGAAUGGAGAUCCUACUGAGAAGCACUAUGGGCUCUUCAAUCCAGAUGGAAGGAUUUCAUAUGAUAUCGGUUACUCAGGUCUAUUACCUUCAUCAGCACCCGCAUCCUUGCUGUCAAUUAAGGAGAUGCGAGCCUGGGGUUGGAUUGCACACUAUUCGGCUGCGGUUAUCCUAGCUAUUUUCUUGUCUUAGGCUUAGUGACUUGAUGAUUAUAGAAUAGCACAUCUGUUAAGGGUACAAUGAAGAUGAGGAGUUAGAAUGCCUGCUUGUACUGGGAAACUCAGAAUGGAAAUUCAAAUAAUGGUUCCCUGCACACCAGUUUCGUUUGUGUUCCCCUCACCCCUUUUACCUGUGAAAAGAACAUGGUUUUGAAUUUUUACUGUAUAUAUAUUUAUUUUAGCGUUAGAAAUGCAGUAUGAAGCUUAUCAUCCUCUGCAACCUAUCAAAAUUUUACCAUGCCAAGUGCCAAGAAAAAAUGGACUUGG
This 2326-nucleotide ribosomal RNA is filed under the name Triticum aestivum (bread wheat). RNAcentral's name for it is "partial small subunit ribosomal RNA". The record is from RNAcentral. Lineage: Eukaryota; Viridiplantae; Streptophyta; Magnoliopsida; Poales; Poaceae.